This 236-nucleotide ribosomal RNA is filed under the name uncultured bacterium. RNAcentral describes it as "partial 16S ribosomal RNA". It matches the Rfam family "Bacterial small subunit ribosomal RNA", at positions 86 to 339 of the family's 1533-position model. The record is from RNAcentral.
AUGAGUAAAGUGGCGCACGGGUGAGUAACACGUGGGAACGUACCCUUAGGUGCGGGAUAACUACGGGAAACUGUAGCUAAUACCGCAUAAUGUCUCCGGACCAAAGAUUUAUUGCCUAAGGAUCGGCCCGCGUUGGAUUAGCUUGUUGGUGGGGUAAUGGCCUACCAAGGCGACGAUCCAUAGCUGGUCUGAGAGGAUGAUCAGCCACACUGGAACUGAGACACGGUCCAGACUCC